RNAcentral lists this ribosomal RNA (494 nucleotides) under uncultured bacterium. RNAcentral describes it as "bacterial SSU rRNA". It matches the Rfam family "Bacterial small subunit ribosomal RNA", at positions 30 to 504 of the family's 1533-position model. The record is from RNAcentral.
CGAACGCUGGCGGCGUGCCUAACACAUGCAAGUCGGAUGCGAAAAGCUGCUUCGGCGGAUGAGUAGCAUGGCAGACGGGUGAGGAACGCGUACCUGACCUGACGCUCGAUGGGGGAUAGUCCUCCGAAAGGAGGUUGAAUACCGCGUACGUUCCAUGCUUCGGUGCGUGGAAGACAGGUGGCCUCUGCAUGCAUGCUACUGUCGAGCGAGGGGGGUGCGUCCUAUUAGUUAGUUGGUGGGGUAAUGGCCUACCAAGACGGCGAUGGGUAGCUGGUCUGAGAGGAUGAUCAGCCACACUGGGACUGAGACACGGCCCAGACUCCUACGGGAGGCAGCAGUGGGGAAUUUUGCGCAAUGGGCGCAAGCCUGACGCAGCAACGCCGCGUGAGUGACGACGCCUUUCGGGGUGUAAAGCUCUGUGAGGAGGGACGAAGGCUCCGGGUGAAGAGCCCGUGAGGAUGACGGUACCUCCACAGCAAGCCCCGGCUAACUCC